GAGAGAUGGUAGGCUAGAGCUCUCUCCAUGAUGAGUAGGCUUAUCCUGAUGAGGUUAGUUCCUGAUGAGGUUAGUUCUGAGUGUUAUACUUGUUUAUUUUUUAUCUAACACUAUUCUCCCGAAAACCCAAGUGGUGAAGAUCAAGCAGUAUUUUCAAAGAUUUUUGCGGGGCCCAAGGCCCGGAGGUGGCGAUGUAUACAUGCUAGCCUGGGAU
This 214-nucleotide long non-coding RNA is filed under the name Elaeis guineensis (African oil palm). RNAcentral's name for it is "long non-coding RNA (EGUI_LNC073715)". Lineage: Eukaryota; Viridiplantae; Streptophyta; Magnoliopsida; Arecales; Arecaceae. The record is from RNAcentral.